GUCACGAAAGGUGAAAAGGGAAUCCGGUGCAAAUCCGGGACAAUACCAGUUGCUGUAAUUCUCUCUCCAUCAGGAGGUUUUAUCGCACUCUUUGCCACUGAUAAAAAUCGGGAAGGCGCGAUAAAAGAGAUAAGUCAGAAGACCUGCCUUAUGUUUUA
This 158-nucleotide non-coding RNA is filed under the name human gut metagenome. The record is from RNAcentral.